This 495-nucleotide ribosomal RNA is filed under the name uncultured bacterium. RNAcentral's name for it is "partial 16S ribosomal RNA". It matches the Rfam family "Bacterial small subunit ribosomal RNA", at positions 28 to 507 of the family's 1533-position model. The record is from RNAcentral.
GACGAACGCUGGCGGCGUGCCUAAUACAUGCAAGUAGAACGCUGAAGGAGGAGCUUGCUUCUCUGGAUGAGUUGCGAACGGGUGAGUAACGCGUAGGUAACCUGCCUGGUAGCGGGGGAUAACUAUUGGAAACGAUAGCUAAUACCGCAUAAGAGUAGAUGUUGCAUGACAUUUGCUUAAAAGGUGCAAUUGCAUCACUACCAGAUGGACCUGAGUUGUAUUAGCUAGUUGGUGGGGUAACGGCUAACCAAGGCGACGCUACAUAGCCGAUCUGAGAGGGUGAUCGGGCACACUGGGACUGAGACACGGCCCAUAAACCUACGGGAGGCAGCAGUAGGGAAUCUUCGGCAAUGGACGGAAGUCUGGACGAGCAACGACGCGUGAGUGAAGGAGGUUUUCGGAUCGUAAAACUCUGUUGUAAGAGAAGAAAGAGUGUGAGGGUAGAAAGUUCACCCUGUGACGGUAUCUUACCAGAAAGAGACGGCUAACUACGUG